Molecule: microRNA, 20 nt
Filed under: Tribolium castaneum (red flour beetle)
Lineage: Eukaryota; Metazoa; Arthropoda; Insecta; Coleoptera; Tenebrionidae
Description: tca-miR-252b-3p
Gene: tca-miR-252b-3p
Source: miRBase by way of RNAcentral
UCCUCGGUCUGGCUGCUUUA